CCAUCAGCAACCAGACCACACAUCUGGACAUCAGUCAACUCUGUCACACACACCCAGUUGCUCUUAUAGUGUUGAUCACCGCUGCUGGAUCUCUGUUGAUUGUUGCUGCAGUCGUGAUGUGCUGCAUCUGCAGGAAAUGUAGAAAAACUGUUACUGCAGUUAAGACACGAGAGGAAGACAGAGCUGAUUCAUCAAAAUCUCAAAAACCGAAAUCAAAGGCAGAUGCUGUGUAUCAAAAUGUCCCCAAAAAACGAUGAUCAUAUGCUGUAUAUACUGGAACUGAUGCCAGAGUACAUAUGGGACAAUACCUCACUCACUUUUGGCUUUAUUCACAUUUAUUUUCUGCAGUAUGUCUGUUCUGUCUUCACUCUUUGUAUCAUAUCUUUUGGUGUUAAUGUGUCUGCUUUAAUUCAGUGGUUCAUCAGUAGCAUAGCACCCUGAAACUCAACUAAAAUGUUCUAUUUUUUGUUCAUCAUAUGGAAAUAAACCUAAUAUUUAUUAUUAAAUGUUAAUCACACCCAUUAGGUGUGCUGUCAUGUCAUUGUCUGUUAUUU
Molecule: long non-coding RNA, 554 nt
Organism: Cyprinus carpio (common carp)
Lineage: Eukaryota; Metazoa; Chordata; Actinopteri; Cypriniformes; Cyprinidae
Exons: 4
Source: RefSeq, a predicted model, not a curated record